GCAGCGGGGUGAACCUGGGGUUGGAGAGAGAAGUGAAGUCAUCUCAAGAGGGAGGACAAGGGAGGAAAGAUAGUAAGCUUCAGGAAAAUGGAGAAAGACUGAAACAGUUGUAAAGAACCAAGAGAUAAAGUUGAUUAAUGUGUAGGAGGAUUCCCCAUCUUCACUGAGAACUCAGCCUGUUGCAGCCCAGAACAGAUAGAGUGUCUCACAGAAUGUUUAGUAAACAGCUUGUCAAAGAUACUCAUCUGCAUUUAAAAUAGUUUUACCUCUGGCAUUUUCAUGAAGGAUGGAUUUGAUGAGGAUAAUGUAAGAUGCUAUAUGAGAACUAAGGACCUACCCCAAGGCAGCGAUGUGAACACGGAGAGUGGAGAAGACUUAGUGACGUUAUGGAUGAAGGAAUCCUUCUUUCUCAAAGACUAGAAAACCUGACUAUGCACUUCUCUGACAGAGAAGGUGCAUCUGCAGAAGAUACGUCAAAGGCAGUCUUUGUGCCCCAUCCAGAAUGCUCAAUGGGAAGAACAACGCGAAAAUUGGAAAAAACCUUCUCCAGAGCUUAGGGAGAGAG
Long non-coding RNA from Zalophus californianus (California sea lion), 565 nucleotides. RefSeq lists it as uncharacterized. NCBI's taxonomy places the organism in Eukaryota, Metazoa, Chordata, Mammalia, Carnivora, Otariidae. The record is from RefSeq and is a predicted model, not a curated record. The transcript is spliced from 4 exons.